This 601-nucleotide ribosomal RNA is filed under the name uncultured bacterium. Its description in RNAcentral is "bacterial SSU rRNA". It matches the Rfam family "Bacterial small subunit ribosomal RNA", at positions 338 to 945 of the family's 1533-position model. The record is from RNAcentral.
CCUACGGGAGGCAGCAGUGGGGAAUAUUGGGCAAUGGAGGAAACUCUGACCCAGCGACGCCGCGUGCGGGAUGAAGGCCUUCGGGUUGUAAACCGCUUUUCAGCAGGGAAGAAGCGAAAGUGACGGUACCUGCAGAAGAAGCACCGGCUAACUAUGUGCCAGCAGCCGCGGUAAUACAUAGGGUGCAAGCGUUGUCCGGAAUUAUUGGGCGUAAAGAGCUCGUAGGUGGUUCGUCACGUCGGAUGUGAAAAUCUGGGGCUUAACCCCAGACCUGCAUUCGAUACGGGCGAGCUUGAGUAUGGUAGGGGAGUCUGGAAUUCCUGGUGUAGCGGUGGAAUGCGCAGAUAUCAGGAGGAACACCAAUGGCGAAGGCAGGACUCUGGGGCCAGUUACUGACACUGAGGAGCGAAAGCGUGGGGAGCGAACAGGAUUAGGAUACCCUGGUAGUCCACGCCGUAAACGGUGGGCACUAGUUGUGGGGACCUUCCGCGGUCUCUGCGACGCAGCUAACGCAUUAAGUGCCCCGCCUGGGGAUACGAUCGCAAGNUUAAAACUCAAAGNGUAGUAGACGUGAGAGUAGCGACGAGACACAGGAGGUAGG